Molecule: ribosomal RNA, 446 nt
Filed under: uncultured bacterium
Lineage: Bacteria
Description: partial 16S ribosomal RNA
Rfam family: Bacterial small subunit ribosomal RNA
Source: RNAcentral
CCUACGGGCGGCAGCAGUCGAGCAUCAUUCACAAUGGGGGAAACCCUGAUGGUGCGACGCCGCGUGGGGGAAUGAAGGUCUUCGGAUGGUACACCCAUGUCAUGUGGGAGCAAAUUAAAAAGAUAGUACCACAAGAGGAAGAGACGGCUAACUCUGUGCCAGCAGACGCGGUACUACAGAGGUCUCAAGCGUUGUUCGGAAUCACUGGGCGUAAAGCGUGCGUAGGCUGUUUCAUAAGUCGUUUGUGAACGGCGUGGGCUCACACCGCGGACGGAACAUGGUACUGCGAGAUAAGAGAAAUGGAGGGGGAACGUGAAUUCGCGGUGUAUCAGUGAAAUGCGUAGAUAUCGAGAGGAACACUCGUGGCGAAGGCGGGUUCCUGGACAUUAACUGACGCUGAGGCACGAAGGCCAGGGGAGCGAAAGGGAUUAGAUACCCCAGUAGUC